UACGGAGGGGGCUAGCGUUGUUCGGAAUUACUGGGCGUAAAGCGCACGUAGGCGGCUUUGUAAGUUAGAGGUGAAAGCCCGGGGCUCAACUCCGGAAUUGCCUUUAAGACUGCAUCGCUAGAAUAGUGGAGAGGUAAGUGGAAUUCCGAGUGUAGAGGUGAAAUUCGUAGAUAUUCGGAAGAACACCAGUGGCGAAGGCGACUUACUGGACACAUAUUGACGCUGAGGUGCGAAAGCGUGGGGAGCAAACAGG
This 253-nucleotide ribosomal RNA is filed under the name uncultured bacterium. RNAcentral's name for it is "partial 16S ribosomal RNA". It matches the Rfam family "Bacterial small subunit ribosomal RNA", at positions 524 to 776 of the family's 1533-position model. The record is from RNAcentral.